AUGAGCUUGCUCUGCUCACUUGUUGCCGUCCUGUUGAUCGGUGCUGUGAGCGCCACCGGCGACGAGGCUGCGUUGCUUGCUUUCAAAGCGCAGCUAAGCCAUGGCUGCUCGCUGGCCUCCUGGAACAGCAGCGCCAGCUUCUGUAGCUGGGAAGGCGUGACAUGCAGCCACCGCACGCCUGCGCGGGUGGUUGCGCUGAGAUUGAACGGCACCGGGCUCGCUGGAGCACUCUCCCCGGCUAUUGGGAACCUCACGUUCCUGCGGACGCUCGACCUGAGCUCCAACUCGCUCCACGGGGACAUUCCGGCGAGCCUCGGCCGCCUUCGUCGCUUGCAGACUCUCUACUUGAGCCACAACUCCUUCUCUGGUACACUACCAGCAAACCUGAGCUCCUGCGUCAGCAUCACGGAAAUGAGACUGAACAACAACACACUUGGCGGGCGCAUCCCGGCUGAGCUCGGCGAGAAGCUCACAUACCUGGAGUUCAUGUCCCUGAGAAAAAACAGGUUCACUGGGCCCAUCCCAGCAUCACUGGCCAAUCUGUCCCAUCUACAGUCACUCGAACUCUCCUAUAACCAGCUCAUUGGCUCGAUCCCACCAGGGUUCGGAAGCUGCCACAACAUUAUAUAUUUCAAUGUCGCCGAGAACCUCCUCACUGGUAUGCUCCCACCUUCUCUAUACAAUUUGUCAUCAAUGGUAGUAUUUUCGGUAGGGGGGAAUAUGUUGUACGGAAGCAUUCCGCAAGAUAUCGGUAGCAAGUUCCCCAAGUUGCAAGGUCUUGGCUUCGGUACUAAUUACUUCACAGGAACUAUCCCUUCCUCAAUAUCGAACAUAUCUUCCCUCAUAUUACUUAGCAUCAACGCCAAUAGAAUUAGUGGGUAUGUUCCUCCCACAUUGGGGAAGCUGGGAGCUCUACAACAACUGUACUUGGGUGACAAUAAGCUUGAAGCGAAUGACAUCAAGGGAUGGGAAUUCAUCUCUUCUUUGACAAACUGUAGCCAACUGCGGGUACUGGCACUCGGCAUCAAUUCUUUCAGAGGACAACUACCGGGUUCGAUUGUGAACCUCUCAACAACUCUCCAGCAAUUAUACCUAAGUGACUCCAGGAUCUCUGGGAGUAUACCUGCAGAUAUCGGCAAUUUGGUUGGUCUCAGCGUGCUUCUAAUAGCAAAUACUUCCAUAUCAGGGGUGAUUCCAGAGAGUAUUGGUAAGCUAGAGAACUUAAUCGAUCUAGGCUUGUACAAUAAUAGCUUGUCUGGCCUCAUACCGUCAUCGCUAGGAAACCUUUCGCGGCUGAAUAGGCUUUAUGCACACUGUGGAAACUUGGAGGGACUGAUUCCGGCAAGCCUGGGGGAGUUGAAAAACCUCUUUGCACUCGAUUUAUCGAUGAACUACAGACUUAAUGGUUCAAUGCCCAGAGAGAUUUUCAAAUUACCCGGCCUUUCUUGGAAAUUGGACCUGUCCUAUAAUUCCCUUUCUGGGCCCAUUCCAGAUGAAGUUGGUAGCUUGGCCAACCUUAACAACCUAAUUCUAUUAGGAAACCAGUUGUCUGGCAAGAUACCCGACACUAUUCAGAAUUGCAUAGUGUUGGAACGACUACUAUUGAACAACAAUUCAUUCGAGGGAAGCAUACCUCAGUCAUUAAAAAAUAUAAAGGGGCUCAGCAUACUGAAUCUAGCCAUGAAUAAGUUCUCUGGUAGUAUUCCAGAGGCCCUUGGUAGCAUUGGGAAUUUGCAAAAGCUGUACCUAGCACACAACAACUUGUCAGGGUCAAUUCCAUCAGUUCUACAGAAUUUGACAUCAUUGUAUGAACUGGACAUGUCAUACAAUAAUUUGCAAGGCGAGGUGCCACAUGAAGGUGUUUUCAGAAACAUCACUUACUUAGCUAUUGCCGGAAAUGUCAAUUUGUGUGGUGGUACACCUCAACUUCACUUGGCUACAUGCCCCACAAGCCAAUUGAGCAAGAACAAAAAAAAGAUGCCAAGGCCUCUCAUAAUUUCUCUAGCAACAGCUGGAGCAAUCUUAAUAUCACUUUCAAUUAUUGUUCUUGUUCGGAUACUUUGUAAGAAUCUCAACCCAAGCCAGAAGACAAUAGCACAGAAUUCAGUUGAUGAUGACCGUUACAAGAGAAUCACCUAUAAUGCAUUAUUGAGAGGAACUAAUGAGUUUUCAGAAGUCAAUUUGCUUGGAAGAGGAAGUUAUGGUGCGGUUUAUAAGUGUAUUUUGGACACCGAAGAAAGAACAUUGGCUGUCAAGGUGUUCAAUCUUGGUCAAUCUAAGUAUUCCAAGAGUUUUGAGGCUGAAUGUGAUGUCAUGAGAAGGAUACGACACCGUUGUCUCACCAAGAUCAUUACUUCUUGUUCGAGCGUCAACUCCCAAGGUCAAGAGUUCAAGGCAUUGGUUUUUGAGUUCAUGCCCAAUGGUAACUUGGAUGAUUGGCUUCAUCCAAAAUCUCAAGAGCCAACUGCAAACAACACCCUCAGCCUCUCCCAGAGGCUUGAUAUUGUUGUCGAUAUUGUGGAUGCAGUAGAAUAUCUGCACAACUACUGCCAACCAUUGGUAAUCCAUUGUGACAUUAAGCCAAGCAACAUUCUUCUCUCUGAAGACAUGAGCGCACGAGUUGGAGACUUUGGCAUAUCAAGAAUCCUUCAUGAAAAUACAAAUGAGGGGAUGCAAACUUCGUAUAGCUCAACUGGAAUUCAAGGUUCCAUAGGCUAUGUUGCUCCAGAGUACGGAGAAGGCUAUGCGGUCUCAACAGCUGGUGAUAUUUAUAGCCUUGGCAUAUUGCUACUUGAGAUGUUUACAGGAAGGAGCCCAACAGAAGGCACGUUCAGAGAUUCAGUGGAUCUGCAUAAGUUUGUUGAGGAUGCUCUUCCAGAUAGAACAUUGGAGAUAGCUGACCCAACAAUGUGGCUGCACAGCGGAGAACAUGAUAACACUACAAGUAUUAGAAUCCAGGAGUUAUUGGCUUCAGUCUUGAGACUUGGCAUAUCCUGCUCAAAGCAACAUCCUCGAGACAGAGCACUGACGAGAGAUGCAACGGCGGACAUGCACGCAAUCAGAGAUGCGUACCUCAAGUUCAUUGGGGGUAUGGAGCAAAGCGAGAAGCCUCAUCUAGAGAAAUCACGAACGGCGUUGCAUAAACAAGCUAGUACAAGACAUAAUCCUGCAUAA
RNAcentral lists this ribosomal RNA (3174 nucleotides) under Triticum aestivum (bread wheat). RNAcentral's name for it is "partial small subunit ribosomal RNA". The record is from RNAcentral. Lineage: Eukaryota; Viridiplantae; Streptophyta; Magnoliopsida; Poales; Poaceae.